This 468-nucleotide ribosomal RNA is filed under the name uncultured bacterium. RNAcentral describes it as "partial 16S ribosomal RNA". It matches the Rfam family "Bacterial small subunit ribosomal RNA", at positions 28 to 507 of the family's 1533-position model. The record is from RNAcentral.
GACGAACGCUGGCGGCGUGCUUAACACAUGCAAGUCGAACGGAAAGGCCCUGCUUUUGUGGGGUGCUCGAGUGGCGAACGGGUGAGUAACACGUGAGUAACCUGCCCUUGACUUUGGGAUAACUUCAGGAAACUGGGGCUAAUACCGGAUAGGAGCUCCUGCUGCAUGGUGGGGGUUGGAAAGUUUCGGCGGUUGGGGACGGACUCGCGGCUUAUCAGCUUGUUGGUGGGGUAGUGGCUUGCCAAGGCUUUGACGGGUAGCCGGCCUGAGAGGGUGACCGGCCACAUUGGGACUGAGAUACGGCCCAGACUCCUACGGGAGGCAGCAGUGGGGAAUAUUGCACAAUGGGCGGAAGCCUGAUGCAGCAACGCCGCGUGCGGGAUGACGGCCUUCGGGUUGUAAACCGCUUUCGCCUGUGACGAAGCGUGAGUGACGGUAAUGGGUAAAGAAGCACCGGCUAACUACGUG